This 1488-nucleotide ribosomal RNA is filed under the name Trichodina acuta. RNAcentral describes it as "SSU rRNA". It matches the Rfam family "Eukaryotic small subunit ribosomal RNA", at positions 65 to 1660 of the family's 1831-position model. The record is from RNAcentral. Lineage: Eukaryota; Ciliophora; Oligohymenophorea; Mobilida; Trichodinidae.
AUAAGUGCUGUACGGCGAGACUGCGAAUGGCUCAUUAAAACAGUUAUAGUUUACUUGACAGUGGACCCUACAUGGAUAACCGUGGCAAUUCUAGAGCUAAUACAUGCUUCAAGGCCGGACUCGCGGACGGCUGGUUUUAUUAGGUACUAACCAACCCUCGGGUUGCGUGGACUCAUGGUAACUGAUCGGAUCGCUUCGGCGAUGAGUCAUCCAAGUUUCUGCCCUAUCAGCUCUCGAUGGUAGUGUAUUGGACUACCAUGGCAGUCACGGGUAACGGAGAAUUAGGGUUCGGUUCCGGAGAGGGAGCCUGAGAAAUGGCUACCACAUCUAAGGAGGGCAGCAGGCGCGUAAAUUACCCAAUCCUGACUCAGGGAGGUAGUGACAAGAAAUAACAACCCGGGGCUAUGCUUUCGGGAUUGCAAUGAUCGUAAUGCAAAGGAAUUAGAAAGAAACCAUUGGAGGGCAAGUCUGGUGCCAGCAGCCGCGGUAAUUCCAGCUCCAAUAGCGUAUAUUAAAGUUGUUGCAGUUAAAAAGCUCGUAGUUCAACUUCUGUUCCCGCCGCGGGGGGCGACCCUGCGCGGCGGGGCAUCCGCCUGAGUCCCACUCCGGUGUGACAGCAGGCAGUUUACCUUGAGAAAAUUAGAGUGUUCAAGGCAGGGGUAGCCCGGAAUACAUUAGCAUGGAAUAAUGGAAGAGGACUCCGAGCCGUUGUUGGUUGGGGGAGGAGUAAUGGUGAAGAGGGACAGUCGGGGGCAUUAGUAUUUAAUUGUCAGAGGUGAAAUUCUUGGAUUCAUUAAAGACUGACUUCUGCGAAAGCAUUUGCCAAGGAUGUUUUCAUUGAUCAAGAACGAAAGUUAGGGGAUCAAAGACGAUCAGAUACCGUCCUAGUCUUAACUAUAAACCAUACCGACUCGGAGUCAGCCGGGGGCAGUCCCCGCCUGGCACCGUACGAGAAAUCAAAGUCUUUGGGUUCUGGGGGGAGUAUGGUCGCAAGGCUGAAACUUAAAGGAAUUGACGGAAGGGCACCACCAGGAGUGGAGCCUGCGGCUUAAUUUGACUCAACACGGGGAAACUUACCAGGUCAAAACGUGGGGGUGAUGGACAGAUUGAGAGCUCUUUCUUGAUUCUACGGGUGGUGGUGCAUGGCCGUUCUUAGUUGGUGGAGUGAUUUGUCAGGUUAAUUCCUUUAACGAACGAGACCUUACCCUGCUAACUAGCGCACUGUCUCAACACGCGCGCUUCUUAGAGGGACUAUGCGAGUUUAUUGCAUGGAAGUUUGAGGCAAUAACAGGUCUGUGAUGCCCUUAGAUGUCCUGGGCCGCACGCGCGCUACAAUGGCACACGCAGCGAGUCUCCUGAUCCGAAGGGAGCCGGGCAACCUGCGAGGGUGUGCCGUGAUUGGGAUCGACCCUUGCAAUUAUGGGUCGUGAACGAGGAAUUCCUAGUAAGCGCCAGUCAUCAGCUGGCGCUGAUUACGUCCCUGCCCUU